AGAUUGAACGCUGGCGGCAUGCCUAACACAUGCAAGUCGAACGGGAGUAGCAAUACUCUAGUGGCGGACGGGUGAGGAAUACGUAGGAAUUUGCCCUUAAGUGGGGGAUAACCCGGGGAAACCCGGAUUAAUACCGCAUGACCUCGAAAGAGCAAAGUGGGGGAUCGCAAGACCUCACGCUUUUGGAGAAGCCUACGUCGGAUUAGCUAGUUGGUGAGGUAAUGGCUCACCAAGGCGACGAUCCGUAACUGGUCUGAGAGGAUGAUCAGUCACACCGGAACUGAGACACGGUCCGGACUCCUACGGGAGGCAGGCAGUGGGGGAAUAUUGGACAAUGGGCGCAAGCCUG
RNAcentral lists this ribosomal RNA (349 nucleotides) under uncultured soil bacterium. RNAcentral's name for it is "bacterial SSU rRNA". It matches the Rfam family "Bacterial small subunit ribosomal RNA", at positions 26 to 385 of the family's 1533-position model. The record is from RNAcentral.